RNAcentral lists this ribosomal RNA (609 nucleotides) under uncultured bacterium. RNAcentral describes it as "bacterial SSU rRNA". It matches the Rfam family "Bacterial small subunit ribosomal RNA", at positions 338 to 947 of the family's 1533-position model. The record is from RNAcentral.
CCUACGGGAGGCAGCAGUAAGGAAUAUUGGUCAAUGGGCGGAAGCCUGAACCAGCCAUGCCGCGUGCAGGAAGACGGCCCUAUGGGUUGUAAACUGCUUUUGUACCGGAAUAAACCCCCGAACGUGUUCGGGGCUGAAUGUACGGUAAGAAUAAGGAUCGGCUAACUCCGUGCCAGCAGCCGCGGUAAUACGGAGGAUCCGAGCGUUAUCCGGAUUUAUUGGGUUUAAAGGGUGCGUAGGCGGCCUGUUAAGUCGGGGGUGAAAGACGGUAGCUCAACUAUCGCAGUGCCCUUGAUACUGAUGGGCUUGAAUGUACUUGAGGUAGGCGGAAUGUGACAAGUAGCGGUGAAAUGCAUAGAUAUGUCACAGAACACCAAUUGCGAAGGCAGCUUACUAAGGUAUGAUUGACGCUGAGGCACGAAAGCGUGGGGAUCAAACAGGAUUAGAUACCCUGGUAGUCCACGCCCUAAACGAUGAAUACUCGAUGUUGGCGAUAUACGGCCAGCGUCUAAGCGAAAGCGUUAAGUAUUCCACCUGGGGAGUACGCCCGCAAGGUGAAACUCAAAUGAAUUGACGGCUGAGACGUGCGAGACGACGACGAGGGAGAGG